CAGCAGGUCCUGGGCGAGUCGGUACCGGAUGCCGCAGCCCCUGCUGCCCCCGCCAUCCUCAGGCCUGUCCUUGCUGCCGUCUCCGUGCCUCCUUCCCGCACAUCCACUUCCCCGCGGCCCCUCUGCAGGCGGAGGCGGGAAGCAACUCCAGGCUGGGGACGCGGAGAAGGGCGGGGCUGGGACGGAGGGGGGAGGGUCCGCACGCCCGGAGCUUCCAGGGGAGUGGGCUCAUGGGCCCCCAGGCCUGGCGUCCACCUCCGGCGGCCCUGCCCGUCUAAAGCAGCAGAUGGGCACACCCCUCUCCACUCUCACCCCACUUGCUUCUAAAAUGUCUUCAGUCAGCUAGAAAGAGAAAAAUGGCAAAAUUUAACGCCUCUUUCCUUUGUGGUCCAGCUGGAAGGCCGCCUCUGCAGGUUUAUCAGAGACAGAGGUACCCGGCGCACACAGCCCCAGGACCCUCGAUUCCACUGGAGCUCUUUUCCGUUAUGUCAGCGUCCCCAGGAGCCCGGGGAGGCUCUGUCUGCACUUUCCCAGGAGAGGGCAGCAGCGACUGAAGCCUCUGGACCUGAGCCCAGGGAAGCAGCGGUGCCAUCCUUGGAGAUCACCGCUAACCCCAGCGCUUGUGCAACUGUCCGGUUUGGGAUGUCAGUGGGAUUUAACAGAUCUUUGCCUUCAGGGUUCAUCAGGACUCCUGUGAAGAGGAAAUAUGAAUUGGACCUCAAACAUCCCCCAAAGCAGGGACACCUCUCUGCCAGAUUCCUGGGCAAGCUCUCAGCAUCUUCCUUCAAUCCUCCACGCCUGCCUGAGCAUCCCCCAAGGCCAGCCUGGUCCCGGGAAGCCCUUGGACAGUCAACAAAUCUUCCUCCCAGUUUCCUAGAUUCAGGGCUAACGGCAAGAUGCUUGCUCAAUGCAAAAGACAUAAAAUGUUCAGAUUUAUUGCUCUGAGAAUUUUGUCUGUCUCCUGAGUCUGGUUGAUGCUGUUUCCUCCAAGUUUCAGAGCAUUUUGUUUUAAAAAAAGGAUUUCGAUAGCA
This is a non-coding RNA of Miniopterus natalensis, 1031 nucleotides long. The record is from RefSeq and is a predicted model, not a curated record. NCBI's taxonomy places the organism in Eukaryota, Metazoa, Chordata, Mammalia, Chiroptera, Miniopteridae.